AAAGCCCACCCCACCUCUACUCCCCCCGAUUCCCCGAUGCCCCACCUCCCGCAGCUCCUGCCCUCAACGACGACGUGCCCGCCGCCCCGUCCCCAACCGGCGGCGCCGCCGCCACCAACCCCCCAGCCACGACGCGUUGUGUAUAGGAGCCGGCGGGAUGCUCCCGAACUCCGGAUCCCGCGGAGAAAAAAAAAAGAGAAUCCCUCUCCCAACCUUAUCCCCACGCCGUUCUAACCUCGCACCCAUGCCACCACCACCUCCCUCCCCGGGCAGCAGGCGCCGCAGCCGCCGCAGCCGCCACCUCCCUCCCCCGGCAGUAGGCGUCGUCGCCCACACCUCCUUCCGCCGGCAGAAGCACUGCCGCCCCCAUCUCCCUCCCCGCCAGACGCACCGUCGGCCCCAACUUCCUCCCCGGCAGAAGCGCCGUCGCGACUCCACCUCCAGGCCGGGUCGCCACGCGCCUCCACCUCCCGGCUUCACGGCGCUGCCCCGUCGGUCUCCUCCGGCGGCCCCGUCGCCGUCCUUCUCCCGGAGCCCCAGCGCCCGGCGGCUUCCGUCGUGCGCGCCAAUCAGGCCACACGGCCACCCCCGUCGCCCUAGCAUGCUUGCUUGGUGGAGACUAGGAGCAGCGACAGAGAUGCCGCCCCGCGGCCGAACCCCUGCCUCCGCUUGGCUCCGUCCGCUGCAGCACACCGGCUCUCCCCGUCGCCCACCUGCCAUGUUCAUGUCCACAGGUAUACUCUGCAUUCGUGUGAAAUUAUUUGAAAUGAAGGAGACGUUUGGCUGUAUUGCCAGUUCAAGUUAAGUUCUCCCUGCAGAUACAUCAAUUUUUAUUUCCAUGUAUUGAGUUCUCUUACAUAUUUCAUAUGAUGAUGCAUCUCCCUGGAUCAUAGCUACACCUUACAAACAAGGAGGCUUUGAAAAAAACCCAGGAUGUACAAACUUGAGUUAAGUUUCUUAGGCUGGCGUAUCAAUUUCUCUGUCAGUACACCACUUACCGAACAGCCUCUGCUGCUACUUCUUCACCUCUGUUGUAGCUAGCUGAUGGUGCUUCUUUUCAGCAGUUCAAGCUACAAAUGGAGCGUUCCAUGCAGCAACAUCAACCCAACGGGCAUACGAUGUCCGACGACGGCUAGGUUUGGCGUGCGUCUCUCCGGCGUGCUGGGCGUGGUGCCGAGAGUGCUGCAAUUCGAAGUGGCUGGGCAUUAAAUUUUAGAGAUUGCUUUUUUAGUACAUUCAGGGAAGUUUCUUUCUUCCUUUUUGCAUUUUGUCUAUGCACAUACUUAGUUCAGACUUCAGAGUGGUUCUGACCUUGGCUCCUCUCACCUGAACACUUGCACCAUUUGUAAAAUAUACAUAAAUGAGUGUCGUAACUAGCAUUCAAAAAUGAAUCCAGAAUAAGUAGGAAGACACCACAACCUCUUCCAUGGGUUCCAGUAGCUCAAGCUUUUAAGAAAAUACAUUUGACACGAAGCUUUAUUCAUACAGUUGUAAUAGUUUUUGAAGUAAUUUUAUCACUUCUGUAGCUUUGCUUUUUUUUUUGAAAUGCUUUGUUUUGCAUAACAAUUGCUUUGGCAGUAGCAAAAGGAAGUUUUCUCUGGUGGCAAGGGGCCAUGCAGGCUGUUUUGUUACUUGCAAGGGACCAUGCAAGGACCUAUCUAGCCGCUAAACCACAACCGCUUCUGGUCCGGCCGCCAUCAACACACACCGCCACGGCCUACUGCUGACACGACCGCGCCUCCCCGUGCAGAAGUCCAGGUUGUUCCCCGAGCGAACGUGCACCCUCAACUCUGUAGUGCCUGAGAAGCCACAUGGAAGCCCAAUCAUGCGUGCGUUGGUGUCCCCUGAAUUCGUCAUGGAGGUUUUGAUUAGUUUGGGUCACUCCCCACUGCUCUUCUCCGUGGCGGAUCCUCCUCUGACCGGCUUCCCCCACCACUACUGCAAUACCUCCUGACUACCCCCUGCAUCACCGGCAGCCGUGGUGGUCUGCUCCUCCCGGAUUGCACUCAUCAGCAGGUCAAACACAAAGCUUGUGGCAGGUCGACUAAAGAAGUUGGAGCAAAAAAGGAGGCACAAAAAAGUCAUUACAGCAUCAUCCUUUGAAGAAAGAACAGAGAACGUCCAGGUGGUCUCUACAUCAAUGGAAGGAGGGCGAUCAAUCGGUGCUGCUGCGACGCUGUCUUCAACUCCUGGAUCGGCGAAGAGGCGAGCUGCUCAGGAUAGCCUGGGGUGGGAACUGAGGGCAUGCGUGAAGAAGAACCGAGGUGGAGCGCUGAAGGCUCACUUGGGAUGA
Molecule: long non-coding RNA, 2293 nt
Organism: Triticum aestivum (bread wheat)
Lineage: Eukaryota; Viridiplantae; Streptophyta; Magnoliopsida; Poales; Poaceae
Exons: 4
Source: RefSeq, a predicted model, not a curated record